RNAcentral lists this long non-coding RNA (508 nucleotides) under Vulpes vulpes (red fox). RNAcentral's name for it is "lncRNA (ENSVVUG00000014744.1)". Lineage: Eukaryota; Metazoa; Chordata; Mammalia; Carnivora; Canidae. The record is from RNAcentral.
UGAUGACUCAUCGCCUUCUGGAAUAAGUGCAUGAGAAGGAAAACAACCCCAUGUGAUAUAGGGUAGUUUACAUUCUGCAUACUAAGCUGAGACAAGGAGGAACAAUUUCAAGAAAUUCAAGUAGAGAAGCUAUUCUUUAUCUUGAAAAAUUGAUGGUUCCCACUCCUACUAAUAGACUAAAGGCAGCCCUCUGGACAGAUGCUCCUAGCCAGCCACUCACUUUGAAGCCUCAUAUCUGGAUCCUGAUUUCAUAUGUAUAGUGGAAACUUGACUUUGACUCUGCUAAAAGGUAAUGCAACGAUCUUGAAGGAGUGGACGGUGUGGCUGGAGUGUCAGGGGCUCAGAGGAUGGACACAUAUGAGGAACGAACAUCAUUUCUGUGAACAUCUACUUCUAUACCUCAAGCUACUAGCAUAUACACCGGAUAUUUUUUCCAAGUUCUUUUUUUUUUUAUCAUGUCUUAUUCAUCGUAUUCACUGUCCCAUCAAUAAAAAUUCUUUGAAUCUAU